This 1443-nucleotide ribosomal RNA is filed under the name metagenome. Its description in RNAcentral is "bacterial LSU rRNA". It matches the Rfam family "Bacterial large subunit ribosomal RNA", at positions 1470 to 2925 of the family's 2925-position model. The record is from RNAcentral.
UGACACAGAAGGAUAGCAUGAGCGGGUUGAUGGUAGAGCCCGUGGAGUAAGAGAGGCCGCAGGGCAGUGAAGUACGUCCUGCGUGAGGCGGAUCUUAUGAAGGAGCGAAAAAAAGUAGUGAAGCAUGUGAAUCCACGCUGGCGAGAAAAGGUGCUAACAAUUGCAUAGGUGCCCGUACCGCAAACCGACGCAGGUGGGCGAGGAGAGAAUCCUAAGACGAACGGGAGAACCCUUGUUAAGGAACUCGGCAAAAUGGCCCCGUAACUUCGGGAUAAGGGGUGCCUCGAAAGAGGCCGCAGAGAAUAGGCCCAAGCGACUGUUUAGCAAAAACACAGGUGUUUGCGAAAGCGAGAGCUGACGUAUAAGCGCUGACGCCUGCCCGGUGCUGGAAGGUUAAGAGGAGCUGUCAUCGCAAGAGAAGCAGUGAAUUGAAGCCCCAGUAAACGGCGGCCGUAACUAUAACGGUCCUAAGGUAGCGAAAUUCCUUGUCGGGUAAGUUCCGACCCGCACGAAUGGCGUAACGACUUGGGCGCUGUCUCAACAAGGGACCCGGUGAAAUUGAAGUAUGGGUGAAGAUGCCCAUUACCCGCGACUGGACGGAAAGACCCCGUAGAGCUUUACUGUAGCUUAUCAUUGAGUUUCGGCAACUGAUGUACAGGAUAGGUGGGAGGCUAGGAAACGCGGACGUCAGUCCGUGCGGAGCCGCCGUUGGGAUACCACCCUUCGGUUACUGAAAUUCUAACAAUGUGCAGUGAACCUGGCAAUGGACAGUGAUAGGUAGGCAGUUUGACUGGGGCGGUCGCCUCCCAAAGAGUAACGGAGGCGCCCAAAGGUUCCCUCAGAAUGGAUGGAAACCAUUCGAAGAGUGCAAAGGCAGAAGGGAGCCUGACUGCGAGACAGACACGUCGAGCAGAGAGGAAACUCGGGCUUAGUGAUCCGGCGGUUUUUGAGUGGAAAAGCCGUCGCUCAACGGAUAAAAGCUACCUCGGGGAUAACAGGCUGAUCUCCCCCAAGAGUCCACAUCGACGGGGAGGUUUGGCACCUCGAUGUCGGCUCGUCGCAUCCUGGGGCUGAAGCAGGUCCCAAGGGUUUGGCUGUUCGCCAAUUAAAGCGGCACGCGAGCUGGGUUCAGAACGUCGCGAGACAGUUCGGUCCCUAUCCAUCGUGGGCGCAGGAAUCAUGACAGGAGCUGUCCCUAGUACGAGAGGACCGGGAUGGACGCACCACUGGUGCAACAGUUGUCGUGCCAACGGCAUAGCUGGGAAGCGAAGUGUGGACGGGAUAAACGCUGAAGGCAUCUAAGCGUGAAGCCCACCUGGAGAUGAAGAUUCCCAUUGCGCAAGCAAGUAAGACCCCUUGAAGACGACAAGGUUGAUAGGUCAGCGCUGGAAGCCGCGUAAGCGGUGCAGGUUGCUGAUACUAAUAGGUCGAGGGCUUAAUGAC